RNAcentral lists this ribosomal RNA (479 nucleotides) under uncultured bacterium. RNAcentral's name for it is "bacterial SSU rRNA". It matches the Rfam family "Bacterial small subunit ribosomal RNA", at positions 28 to 498 of the family's 1533-position model. The record is from RNAcentral.
GAUGAACGCUGGCGGCGUGCCUAACACAUGCAAGUCGAACGGAGUUAUGAUGUGAGCGGGAAGUGCUUGCACUAAACAAUCUUUUCAUAACUUAGUGGCGGACGGGUGAGUAACGCGUGGGUAACCUGCCCUGUACUGGGGGACAACAGUUGGAAACGACUGCUAAUACCGCAUAAGCGCACGGGAUCGCAUGAUCCCGUGUGAAAAACUCCGGUGGUACAGGAUGGACCCGCGUCUGAUUAGCUGGUUGGUGAGGUAACGGCCCACCAAGGCAACGAUCAGUAGCCGGCCUGAGAGGGUGAACGGCCACAUUGGGACUGAGACACGGCCCAAACUCCUACGGGAGGCAGCAGUGGGGAAUAUUGCACAAUGGGGGAAACCCUGAUGCAGCGACGCCGCGUGAGUGAAGAAGUAUUUCGGUAUGUAAAGCUCUAUCAGCAGGGAAGAAAAUGACGGUACCUGACUAAGAAGCCCCGGCU